RNAcentral lists this ribosomal RNA (598 nucleotides) under Stenotrophomonas maltophilia. Its description in RNAcentral is "bacterial SSU rRNA". It matches the Rfam family "Bacterial small subunit ribosomal RNA", at positions 34 to 623 of the family's 1533-position model. Lineage: Bacteria; Pseudomonadati; Pseudomonadota; Gammaproteobacteria; Lysobacterales; Lysobacteraceae. The record is from RNAcentral.
UGCAGGCGCUAGGCCUACCAUGCAAGUCGAACGGCAGCACAGGAGAGCUUGCUCUCUGGGUGGCGAGUGGCGGACGGGUGAGGAAUACAUCGGAAUCUACUCUGUCGUGGGGGAUAACGUAGGGAAACUUACGCUAAUACCGCAUACGACCUACGGGUGAAAGCAGGGGAUCUUCGGACCUUGCGCGAUUGAAUGAGCCGAUGUCGGAUUAGCUAGUUGGCGGGGUAAAGGCCCACCAAGGCGACGAUCCGUAGCUGGUCUGAGAGGAUGAUCAGCCACACUGGAACUGAGACACGGUCCAGACUCCUACGGGAGGCAGCAGUGGGGAAUAUUGGACAAUGGGCGCAAGCCUGAUCCAGCCAUACCGCGUGGGUGAAGAAGGCCUUCGGGUUGUAAAGCCCUUUUGUUGGGAAAGAAAUCCAGCUGGUUAAUACCCGGUUGGGAUGACGGUACCCAAAGAAUAAGCACCGGCUAACUUCGUGCCAGCAGCCGCGGUAAUACGAAGGGUGCAAGCGUUACUCGGAAUUACUGGGCGUAAAGCGUGCGUAGGUGGUUAUUUAAGUCCGUUGUGAAAGCCCUGGGCUCAACCUGGGAACUG